This 200-nucleotide ribosomal RNA is filed under the name uncultured bacterium. RNAcentral describes it as "partial 16S ribosomal RNA". It matches the Rfam family "Bacterial small subunit ribosomal RNA", at positions 8 to 217 of the family's 1533-position model. The record is from RNAcentral.
AGAGUUUGAUCCUGGCUCAGAUUGAACGCUGGCGGCGUGCCUAACACAUGCAAGUCGAACGAAGUAGCAAUACUUAGUGGCAGACGGGUGAGUAACACGUAGUCAACCUACCUCUUUGUGGGGGAUAACUAGCCGAAAGGUUAGCUAAUACCGCAUACGAUCGUCGAGAGGCAUCUCUUGACGAUGAAAGGAGCAAUCCG